AGUUGCCUCCUUGCACCCUAGAGAAACAGCAGCUCUGGCCCUGACCUGGCCUCCAUCACCUGCUCAGGUGUGGAGCUUCUGGGCAAUUUGAGCCCCCAUCACCAUGUGCUCCUCCACCUGGGCAGGACCCAGAGCCAUGCUGGGCUGCCUGGCCCUUCUCUGGGCCCUCCUGGUUCCUGGCCAAGAGAUCAGGCUGGUACAGCUGCCCGUGAUAGUGUCGCGUGUGGGGAACUCUGUCACCAUGCCCUGCCGGAUCACUACAUCCGUCAGCUACAUCCAUUGGUAUCGCCAGCUGGAGGGCCAGGCCCCUGAGAGGCUCCUCUAUCUGGCCACGUCGCAGCGGGAUGUGCAGUGGGAUUCCGUCCUGCAAGGCAAUAAGGGGAGAAGCCAGAAGUUAGAAGCCCAGGAAACAAUACUGGUAAUAUCUCAGUGUCCUCAUCCAUUGGCACGCCUGGCACUCAAACUCAUGUUGUUAGACAAUGGUCAUCGUAGUGGAUGACUAUGGGGAUGACUCAUCUCUCUGGGGAUGAGCCAUGGAGCCCUCUGCCCCACAUUCCUUGAACGUCGCUAUACGUGGAAUUUGGAGUAGAGAAUCGAAAUUCUCUCUUCUGUAAAAUGAGGUGGUUGCACUGUGAAAAUUAUGACUCUGAUUUCUGCAUUCAAGUAAAAUCAUACAAAUCAGGUAUCACUAUGUUCACUACCUUCUUAUGGAACCUGUUCAACUUCUUGAAAAGAAAAGAAGAAAAGAAGAGAAAAGAAAGAGCUGUGUCACUUAUUCUCCAGCCCUGAACAGGAAAUCCCUCACCUGCUAUAUGUGGAGGAGAAAUAAAAGCUCUUUGAGGUCUGAGCUGAAUAGAAAU
Molecule: long non-coding RNA, 860 nt
Filed under: Sus scrofa (pig)
Lineage: Eukaryota; Metazoa; Chordata; Mammalia; Artiodactyla; Suidae
Description: lncRNA (ENSSSCG00015073119.1)
Source: RNAcentral